RNAcentral lists this ribosomal RNA (505 nucleotides) under uncultured bacterium. Its description in RNAcentral is "partial 16S ribosomal RNA". It matches the Rfam family "Bacterial small subunit ribosomal RNA", at positions 28 to 507 of the family's 1533-position model. The record is from RNAcentral.
GACGAACGCUGGCGGCGUGCCUAAUACAUGCAAGUAGAACGCACAGUUUAUACCGUAGCUUGCUACACCAUAUACUGUGAGUUGCGAACGGGUGAGUAACGCGUAGGUAACCUGCCUGGUAGCGGGGGAUAACUAUUGGAAACGAUAGCUAAUACCGCAUAAUAUUGAUUAUUGCAUGAUAAUUGAUUGAAAGAUGCUAUUGCAUCACUACCAGAUGGACCUGCGUUGUAUUAGCUAGUAGGUGAGGUAACGGCUCACCUAGGCGACGAUACAUAGCCGACCUGCGAGGGUGAGCGGCCAAGCUGGGACUGAGACACGGCCCAGACUCCUACGGGAGGCAGCAGUAGGGAAUCUUCGGCAAUGGACGAAAGUCUGAACGAGCAACGCCGCGUGAGAGAAGAAGGUUUUCGGAUCGUAAAGCUCUGUUGUAAGAGAAGAACGGGUGGGAGAGUGGAAUGUUCACACUGUGACGGUAUCUUACCAGAAAGGGACGGCUAACUACGUG